CAAAGCCCAACCUCUUCCGCCAUCGCCGCCGCCAUCCUGUGUCGCCGUCGGUCCAGCUGCCGCCGCCGUGAGGUAUCCAAGUUAUUUUAAGAUUCUUGUUUUUACACACACAUACAGGUCAAUUAUAUGAAGGGCUAUUAAAAUGGUUCAUGCAUCCACUACGAAUGCAAAGAAAGGACGCAGUAAAACUGCUUGAGAAAUUGUCAAGGCUCCUCGUCAACCGGAUAGUAACCAAUGCGGUUUCUUUGUCAUGGCGUACAUGAAAAGUUUAAUUGAGAAUAUGCCAGACUUCGAUGAUAAAAAUUCUGUUC
Molecule: long non-coding RNA, 311 nt
Organism: Ipomoea nil (Japanese morning glory)
Lineage: Eukaryota; Viridiplantae; Streptophyta; Magnoliopsida; Solanales; Convolvulaceae
Exons: 3
Source: RefSeq, a predicted model, not a curated record